GCAGUGGUGGUUCAGUGGUAGAAUUCUUGCCUUCCAUGCAGGAGACAUGGGUUAGACGCCUGGCCAAUGCA
This 71-nucleotide transfer RNA is filed under the name Loxodonta africana (African savanna elephant). It matches the Rfam family "tRNA". Rfam says of the family: Transfer RNA (tRNA) molecules are approximately 80 nucleotides in length. The record is from Rfam by way of RNAcentral. Lineage: Eukaryota; Metazoa; Chordata; Mammalia; Proboscidea; Elephantidae.